AAUAUUGGACAAUGGGGGCAACCCUGAUCCAGCGAUGCUGCGGGUGUGAAGAAGGUCUNCGUAUUNUNAAGCACUUUAAGUUUGGNGGCAGUGCUGUAGGUUAAUACCUCGACGUCUUUACGUUACUAACAGAUUAAGCACCGGCUAACUCUGUGCCAGCAGCCGCGGUAAUACAGAGGGUGCAAGCGUUAAUCGGAAUUACUGGGCGUAAAGCGCGCGUAGGUGGUUCAGUAAGAUGGGUGUGAAAUCCCCGGGCUUAACCUGGGAACUGCUUUCAUAACUGCUCAGCUAGAGUACGGUAGAGGGUAGUGGAAUUUCCUGUGUAGCGGUGAAAUGCGUAGAUAUAGGAAGGAACACCAGUGGCGAAGGCGACUACCUGGACUGAUACUGACACUGAGGUGCGAAAGCGUGGGGAGCAAACA
RNAcentral lists this ribosomal RNA (422 nucleotides) under uncultured bacterium. Its description in RNAcentral is "partial 16S ribosomal RNA". It matches the Rfam family "Bacterial small subunit ribosomal RNA", at positions 360 to 774 of the family's 1533-position model. The record is from RNAcentral.